RNAcentral lists this ribosomal RNA (253 nucleotides) under uncultured bacterium. RNAcentral's name for it is "partial 16S ribosomal RNA". It matches the Rfam family "Bacterial small subunit ribosomal RNA", at positions 524 to 776 of the family's 1533-position model. The record is from RNAcentral.
UACAGAGGGUGCGAGCGUUGUCCGGAAUCACUGGGCGUAAAGGGCGCGUAGGUGGCGCUCCAAGUCCGUGGUGAAAGCUCGAUGCUCAACAUCGAGUCGGCCACGGAGACUGGAGGGCUCGAGCACUGUAGGGGCCAAUGGAAUUCCGGGUGUAGCGGUGGAAUGCGUAGAGAUCUGGAAGAACAUCGGUGGCGAAGGCGGUUGGCUGGGCAGGUGCUGACACUGAGGCGCGACAGCGUGGGGAGCAAACAGG